This is an RNA transcript of Mangifera indica (mango), 2295 nucleotides long. It is a transcript of the gene named cytochrome P450 85A-like, with no coding region annotated. NCBI's taxonomy places the organism in Eukaryota, Viridiplantae, Streptophyta, Magnoliopsida, Sapindales, Anacardiaceae. The transcript has 9 exons. The record is from RefSeq and is a predicted model, not a curated record.
CUGCAAGAAAGAAAACUGCAAGAAAGACAGAGGCAGUCUAGUUAAGUCUGAAACUAAAAAUUUUUAUCCAUCUCAAUCUCUCCCUCUUCACUUAUUCACAUGGUAACCAAGAGGGAGUCUUUUAGCGAGUUUUCACAAUUCCUGAAGGCAGAUCUUGUUGACAGACAGACAUGUGAACGCCCGGAAAUCGUAUUGCUUUUUUGUUAGGUCCAAUAGGGUGGUCUGCAUGUGCCUCUUCAUAGAUCCCUUUUAACUCAUUUCUUAAUUAUCACCACUUUCUUUAACAAACAUUUUUCUUCAAGAAUGAGUUGGUUUGGCAGUUGAUUAUCUUUAAUACAAUCGUUAAUUAUGAUUUUUGUGUCUAAUUGAGGGUUACAUUUUUAAUCUAAUUGAGUCUAAACCAACCAUACCAAGUAUUCCAUACAAAAAUUCUUAGUGUGCCUUCAUUACAUUACUUGAGGUCUUAAGAGUAGGGUCCUUAGUAGGGUGCAUGGUUUGGAAUUAUGUGUGGCUUGGCUUCUCUCUCUUUACACAUUUGGUUUGUGGGCAGUUCGAAGGGCUCUAUGGCUAUAUAUGUGCACACUUUGCGGCCAAGUUAGAGCUAGGACACAAGCACAAACCUUUCCAGUUGUCUGUGCAGUGGGCUCUCUUUGCAGCAAGCUUCUUCUUGGGAGCUAGCAUCAAUGGCUGUUUUCAUGGUGAUUCUUGCUUUCAUCUUCAUUAUGCUUUCUACUUGCACUACCUUGUUGAAAUGGAAUGAGCUCAGAUAUAGAAAGAAAGGUCUCCCUCCUGGUACAAUGGGCUGGCCUGUCUUUGGUGAGACUACUGAGUUUCUUAAGCAAGGUCCAAACUUCAUGAAAAACCGAAGAGAAAGGUAUGGCAGUGUCUUCAAAUCCCACGUUCUGGGUUGUCCUACAAUUGUGUCAAUGGAUCCAGAGCUGAACAGAUACAUCUUAAUGAAUGAAUCAAAGGGCCUUGUUCCUGGCUACCCUCAAUCCAUGCUUGAUAUCUUAGGCAAAUGUAACAUUGCAGCCGUUCAUGGGUCCUGUCACAGAUAUAUGAGAGCAGCAUUGCUUGCUCUCAUUAGUCCCACCAUGAUCCGGGACCAACUUUUGCCUAAAAUCGAUGCCUUCAUGAGAACUCAUCUCAUAAAUUGGGAUAACAAAAUCAUUAACAUUCAAGAUAAAACCAAAGAGAUGGCACUUCUUUCUUCACUUAAGCAGAUUGCCAGUGUAGAAUCUAGCUCAGUAUCUCAGAAAUUCAUGCCUGAGUUCUUUAAGUUGGUUUUAGGAACUCUGUCACUGCCGAUAGACCUGCCUAGCACAAACUAUCGCCAAGGUUUAGAUGCUAGGAAAAAUAUUGUAGCCAUGUUGAGACAGCUGAUAGAAAAGAGAAGAGAUUCUCAGGAAACCCACCAAGACAUGCUUGGUUACUUGAUGAGAAGUGAUGAAAAUAGACACAGAUUAAGUGAUGAAGAGAUUAUUGAUCAGAUAAUUACUAUUUUGUAUUCUGGUUAUGAGACUGUGUCAACAACUUCGAUGAUGGCUGUCAAGUUUUUACAUGAUCAUCCAAGAAUCCUUCAAGAGCUAAGAACAGAACAUUUAGCAAUUAGAGAAAGGAAAAGGCCAGAGGAUCCAAUUGAAUGGAAUGACCUUAAAUCAAUGAGAUUCACUAGAGCAGUGAUCUUUGAGACCUCAAGAUUAGCUACAAUAGUUAACGGGGUUAUGAGAAAAACCACAGAAGAAAUGGAACUUAACGGAUUUGUGAUUCCAGAAGGAUGGAGAAUUUAUGUUUAUACCAGAGAGAUGAACUACGACCCAUAUAUAUAUCCAGAUCCAUUAGCCUUCAAUCCCGGGAGAUGGCUGGAUAAGAGUUUAGAGUCUCAAAACUAUUUAUUUAUAUUUGGAGGGGGCACCAGGCAAUGUCCUGGAAAGGAACUUGGAAUAGCAGAGAUUUCAACUUUCCUUCACUACUUUGUAACUAGAUACAGGUAACAAACAUGCAUAUCUGAACACACAAGUUAGUUUAUUUAUCCAAAAAAUAGAAGUGUGUUCAAAGAUGGAUUUGAGUGAACUUAAACAAGGGCUAACUUGAAGAGUUGCUGAAGAAAAAGGUGGAAUGACGUUGGAGGAGAUAAACUGAUGAAAUUUCCGAGAGUUGAAGCACCAAAUGGACUACAUAUCAGAGUCUCAUCUUACUGACUAACCUUUUAUGUAUAUACAGAAGAGAGACAUUGUAACAUAUCAAGAAAUAAGAGUGCAUGAUAAUAUUCUAAUAGAUCAGAAAAUUUAAUGA